Molecule: long non-coding RNA, 4591 nt
Filed under: Lynx pardinus (Iberian lynx)
Lineage: Eukaryota; Metazoa; Chordata; Mammalia; Carnivora; Felidae
Source: RNAcentral
UACACACAGUCUUCAGUUCUGUGUAUUUGCAGACGUCUUUCUUCCGUUGCCUGACCGCACGCUGGAAUGUUGUCCUUUGUAGACUCCCGAGUGUUAAGUUGCCUGUGUUUGAUUUAUUUGAAGGGAAUAAAGCUCAGGAAUAUGAUGGGUUUCGUAGAGGUGAAGGGGAAAGGAUCUGACUGAUUUUUCUAAGCAGAUGCUUGCCAACGUGUAAUGUCUUUUUGAAAACAAAUCUUGCAAGACAUAUCGAAAAGAUGAAGUCUGAAGAGGAUCACGUGACAGGUAUCAAAGCACUUUGUGCAGUGUAGACUCUAUGCAGUUUUACUAAUGCAACUUUUCUGGCGUUCUCAGCCAUUGCCCCCUGAGAGGAAGGCAAUGCUGGGGACAAAUCUUAAUGUUUCUUAAGGAUCUCCCGUAGCUGCCCUGUGCUCCCUCUCUGUCCCUGUAGAGCACAUGGACCCUUGGGGUUACUGUAUUUACUAAAGCGCUCUAUCUCUGAAGACAUCCUUUUUGUUGACUUAGAACAUUUUCCAGUGAAAUAUGGGGUGAAGAUGCUGGGGUGACAGCCAUGGAUUUGGGCUAGGAGAGUCGGUGUUAUGAUUUACAACCGCAAGCAGAGCUGCUUUGCUUCUGAUCUCAACGGACUCACUGGGUAAUGGUUAUUCAUGGUGGGGCCAAAGAGGCAUUUUUCAAAAGAGACAGCAAUUUCUGCUGAGAAGUUUGUGUAUUUGCUUGAAAAAGACUCUCUUUGAAUAUGGCUUUUGCAAAACAAUCCUAAAAUGCUGCGGAUUCACAAAGAGGUAAAGGGGGAGAAUUGCUGAGGCUGUUUACCAUUGGAGCCACAGUGUAGGACCUGUGUAACUGGGGACAGAUGCUGAGAUACCCUCAGUUAGAGAUUCUCAUUGCACGGGAAACUCAGUCGUUAGUUUCUUAUUAAAAGCAUUCAUCUUUGAGAGGACCAUUUGGUGCCUAAUGAAAAUGUGGGGGAGAAGAUAUGAAUGGAUGAGCGUGUUGUAUCUCCAGCGACACUUGGGAGGACUCUUCACCUCGCCUGUCUCUAACACGUGUGUUCCAAGGUCAGCUGGUGGUAGUUCUGUGUGACUAGGGAAACUUCUGGCUUGCAAAUGUGAAUGUCAUAACCAGCUAGGCUGUGGACCCGGCCACACAAAGACCGAGUUGACCUAUCCCCAUCCAUAGCUGGAAAAAGUUGUGUUUGCAAUCUUGCCUGCAAUUUAUUCUCACUGUAUAGCACAAAGGGUGUUGUGUCCUCGUGUCAAGAAUGAUUUAAGUUAUGGCUGUGCAGAGUCACACAUCGUUUUACUGUGCAUUGCUUGCAGGGCAAGUACAUAGAGAGCCAAUGUUCAUCGUGAAGUUGUAAAAUAAGUCAUUCUUUCCAGGUGCCUCUCACAGAGGCUUAAAUGGACAUUACCACUUGGAGUCUUGGGCACUAGCCUGCCAGCUCAUGACUGGGCACUCAACAUUCCGAAGGUGUAACUUGAUUUGGAACCCUGGAAUAUACCCAGGUUUUACCUUCCCAAUGUGGGUUAUGGAAACAAAAUGACCAAGACAAAAUCACUGUCGGGUGGAUGACCUAGGUAGUCUUUAUUGGAAGGGCUUUAAUUUUACCUGGUUUGUUCCUAAGUUCCCCAGAUUUGAAGUGUUCUCCAAUAUGGUGAACAGGUGCUACUUAAAAGAAAAUAUAACAAGAAAUUAGGGGACAUUUUGGUCAUCUGGCUUACUUAUUCAAGUUGUGUUUCUUUUUUUCCUGGAAAGUGACUUAAGGAGGUGUGAUCUUUAAUGUUAACAGAUGUUUUUUGGUUGGACAGAAGCCCCACUAGCUGUCCGGUUUUUUUGUUUGUGUGUUUGUUUUAUUUUUUACCUCUCAGUGUAAAAAUAAAUUCUGCCCCUCUAUCCACUUCCCUUUGCCCCUCGUCCCCACUCAUCAGGAUUAAGGAGCAGCAGCAGUGUGAUUUAAUCUGCCUAUGUCAGCUAGACAGAGGUAAGCUAUAUUGUCAGAGUUGACCAUUUUGUUGUUGUGACAUAAUGAAUUGUGAACAGUGAUGCUAUUGUUGAGGCCAUGAGCUAGCUACCUUGGUGACUGACCGCAGACCCAAGAACUUGAAUCAUAGCUGUAGUCUGGCUCUCCAGUGAGCCCGGCCUGUGUAUACUGUGGCAUUAGGUAUUAGGAUACGUUUGCUUGAAAUAGUUAGAGUUCAAGGAAGGGAAGAGCUAGGAAUUUUAGCUUCAUGGGUCUUGCCUAGGUUAUUUAAGAGAAAACAUAAGAUCAUAAGAAUGUAUAUAGCUGGGUAAUGGAUUAGUUGUAGAAAGCCCCUUACAAGAGAGCCUCUGAGGUUCGUAUUGGCUCCAUAUCACAUGCAUAUUCAUUUGUAGGCAAGACCUGAACUGAAGUCUUUCACCUUGCCUUAGAUGGUUCUUGCCGUUACGUUACUUUGGCUUUGUUUCUUUUUAAAACCCACAUUCCCUGAGAAAUCAGUCCAUGUGUCCGUCAGCACAUCCCCAGCCUCUCUCAAAGAGUGCUUGGAAUCUUCCACUCUUGCUCUCCAUGUCUGUUCAGCCCAGUCCAGACCAAUUCAAGAAUUUACUCUGUGCAAGGCACUGCUAGACUCUGAAUGAUACCAAGUCACCAAGACUCCAUAUUCUUUGUUUUUUAUCUUUUAAAGAAUCUAUGCCAUAUUAUCACUCCUUGCGUAUUUACUGAGCACCUAUCCUGUUCCUGGCCCUGAGAUCCACAGGAGAUCUAGAGGGUGAACAGAACAGACAUGGCACCCUGAUUUUAGGGCAUCCGCUUUUGCCCAGACUAAUGCAAUGGCUUCUUCUAAAUGCUUGGUCACUUCCCUGAUCCAUUCCACCCUACACCAUUAAUUUUUAAAAGAAUUUCUGGCCCUGAUGGGGUGCCAUAUUGCCUCAGGAUGAGGGUCACUCUCUGGGCCCUGGUAUUCUCAGCUCUUCCUUCUUCAUCUUGUUUCCUGGGACGUCUCCCAGGGCUUCUCCAUAUGAGCCAUCCAGUGCAUCCUGGUUGGUCUCCUUGCCAUUGCCUAAACAUGCCUCAUGUCCCCACUCUGCUUCUGCUUCUGCUAGCCUCCCUCCUGAAAGCCCUGCCCUUCCUGUCCACUGGCCCAACUCAUGCCCACCUCCCAAGGCCCAACUUCAUCAGUUCUGCAAGAAGACUUCCCAGCUCAUUAUAAUCUCCCCUUCCUCUAGAAACACAGCACACAUCGUUGGCUUCCCUGCUGGCUGCAUGGGAAAGGUAUGCCUAGAAAGCAGGCCACCACACACUAGAAAGUAGUGCUUUUAAACUGUUUGCGUCAGGGAUUCCUUUGAUAAUCUAAUGAAAGUCCUAUACCUUAUUACCAGAAAAAUACAUAUAUGCAAAUAUACAAAAUUUUACAUGUAACUUCGGAUUUAGAGACCUGAAAUCAUCCAUGGAUUCUUUAGGGGGCUCAUGGACCCCAGUGGAAGAAGCCUUCUAAAGAGUCUUUAAAAGCUACUGUUGUUAGUGUUCAUUCUUUCUUGCCUUUGACAUAUGCAGAGAGAAGAAAAUUGGUAUGGGAUGUGCAUGCAAAAGCAAUCUCUGUUAUUAUCCGUGUUGGGUGUGUGUUGAGUGACAGGGAAGGAAGGAAGAAGAGCUGUCUUACGUUAAUUGAGAGAAUAUCUUUGUUUUGACAGGCUUGGCAUUUUGAAACUGACAAGGUUUUAUUGUUAUUGUUCUUGGUUAUCUGUUAACCAUCCAAAAAGUUGGUUUAUCAAAAUUAAUUCAGGGCCAGGUAAGCUUCAUUUCAGGCCUCAAACCCACCACUUCAGCAGGAGUAGGCUUUGGCCUAGGAUUAUUAAGGUAGGAGAGAAGAGGCUGGAUUUUUCCUUACAGGAAAAAGAUCGGCACAGUCAAGUUUUCCUGUAUUCAUCAUUCAUUAAUUCAUUCGUAGGAUAACUGUUGAGUGUAUUUUCAAUAAAAGGAUGGUGCCUUUGUUGAUAGGUAACUACUCAGGUUCUUCUUUGUCGUCGUCGUCGUCUUCUUCUUCUUCUUUUUGUUUUUUUACAGGGUGAAGUUAUUUUUAUUGCUCCUGACUAUGAUCCAGGAUCCUUUGUUCUCCUUUAUGUGCAGUGCUGUUUAAGUUGAACAAGAACCAGUGAAAAUACAUUCGAUGACAAAUACUUCCAAGUCUGAAUGCUGAACUCUGGCAACACAUCUUUAAUAGGUCCAGCCAUCAAUUAAUGUGUGAUUGUGGAGUGCUUGACCUUUUUUCAGUUGCUUCCAGUGGUGAAACUGGGUGAAGUUUGAAAGGAUCCCCUUGGUAGGUGGGGCAGGAGGUCCCUCUUUCCCAGAGUUCUUUUGCUAGUACCAGGAGUAAAUGUCAACAGAUGAUGAAUAUUUUCUUCAUUUGAAUUCCUUACCAGAAACUUGAGUUUUUAGUCCCUGAAUUUAAAGGAUAUCCUAAAGACAUUUAAAGUUCCAGGGGCGCCUGGGUGGCUCAGUUGGUUAAGCGUCCAAUGUCAGCUCAGGUCAUGAUUUCGCUGUUCCUGAGUUCAAGCCCUGGGUCAGGCUCUGUGCUGACUGCUCAGAGCCUGGAGC